This 480-nucleotide ribosomal RNA is filed under the name uncultured bacterium. RNAcentral's name for it is "partial 16S ribosomal RNA". It matches the Rfam family "Bacterial small subunit ribosomal RNA", at positions 28 to 507 of the family's 1533-position model. The record is from RNAcentral.
GAUGAACGCUAGCGGCAGGCCUAAUACAUGCAAGUCGAGGGGUAUGGGUUGCUUGCCACCCAGAGACCGGCGCACGGGUGCGUAACGCGUAUGCAAUCUACCUUAAUCAGGGGGAUAGCCCGGGGAAAUCCGGAUUAACACCGCAUACCAUGGGUUGGUGGCAUCACAGUUCAUUCAAAAAUUAAUAGGUUUAGGAUGGGCAUGCGUGCCAUUAGUUAGUUGGUAAGGUAACGGCUCACCAAGACCACGAUGUCUAGGGGAUCUGAGAGGAUGACCCCCCACACUGGUACUGAGACACGGACCAGACUCCUACGGGAGGCAGCAGUAAGGAAUAUUGGUCAAUGGGCGCAAGCCUGAACCAGCCAUGCCGCGUGCAGGAAGACGGCCCUAUGGGUUGUAAACUGCUUUUGUACCGGAAUAAACCUUCUCUUGCGAGAGAAGCUGAACGUACGGUAAGAAUAAGGAUCGGCUAACUCCGUG